Molecule: ribosomal RNA, 375 nt
Filed under: uncultured bacterium
Lineage: Bacteria
Description: bacterial SSU rRNA
Rfam family: Bacterial small subunit ribosomal RNA
Source: RNAcentral
UAAUACGAACCGUCCAAACGUUAUUCGGAAUUACUGGGCUUAAAGAGUUCGUAGGCGGUUGGGAAAGUUGGGUGUGAAAGCCCUCGGCUUAACCGAGGAAUUGCGCUCAAAACUACCUGACUAGAGGAAGAUAGAGGUGAGCAGAACUGAUGGUGGAGCGGUGAAAUGCGUUGAUAUCAUCAGGAAUACCGGAGGCGAAGGCGGCUCACUGGGUCUUUUCUGACGCUGAGGAACGAAAGCUAGGGGAGCAAACGGGAUUAGAUACCCCGGUAGUCCUAGCCGUAAACGAUGAGCACUGGACCGGAGCUCUGCACAGGGUUUCGGUCGUAGCGAAAGUGUUAAGUGCUCCGCCUGGGGAGUAUGGUCGCAAGGCUG